CCUACGUGUGGCAGCAGUAGGGAAUAUUGCUCAAUGGGGGAAACCCUGAAGCAGCAACGCCGCGUGGAGGAUGAAGGUUUUAGGAUUGUAAACUCCUUUUGUGAGAGAAGAUAGUGACGGUAUCUCACGAAUAAGCACCGGCUAACUCCGUGCCAGCAGCCGCGGUAAUACGGAGGGUGCACGCGUUACUCGGAAUCACUGGUCGUAAAGAGUGCGCAGGCGGGCUUGUAAGUCAGAUGUGAAAUCCUGGAGCGUAACUACAGAACUGCAUUUGAAACUAGGAGACUAGAGUGUGGGAGAGGUAGGUGGAAUUCUUGGUGUAGGGGUAAAAUCCGUAGAUAUCAAGAGGAACACUCAUUGCGAAGGCGACCAACUGGAACAUUACUGACGCUCAGGAACGAAAGCGUGGGGAGCAAACAGGAUUAGAUACCCUUGUAGUC
This 440-nucleotide ribosomal RNA is filed under the name uncultured bacterium. RNAcentral describes it as "partial 16S ribosomal RNA". It matches the Rfam family "Bacterial small subunit ribosomal RNA", at positions 338 to 795 of the family's 1533-position model. The record is from RNAcentral.